RNAcentral lists this unclassified non-coding RNA (422 nucleotides) under uncultured fungus. RNAcentral's name for it is "partial contains internal transcribed spacer 1 and 5.8S ribosomal RNA". The stretch from base 374 to 422 matches the Rfam family "5.8S ribosomal RNA", at positions 1 to 49 of the family's 154-position model. Lineage: Eukaryota; Fungi. The record is from RNAcentral.
GCAAACUUGGUCAUUUAGAGGAAGUAAAAGUCGUAACAAGGUUUCCGUGCAAGUCUGCUGGAACAGUGAUUCCUUCCGCAGUGUACACUUACCGAAGCCUCUGCAGCCGUGCAAGCGGUAGGCCCGAGCGACUCGAAACAAGUCGGUGCCGUUGCAAGUCCCAGGUCUCGCCUGGGGCGACACUCUCGAAUUGACGGGAACACCCUAAAGCCAGUCGCACCAAGCCGCGGUGAGAAAUCGCGCGGUGGCUCGGCGGGCCCACUGGAACCCCACGGUUCCGGUCGCCGGAGGACUAUUGCCCUCGGGCCCGCGCCCGCCGAGCACCCCUGAACCCUGUGUGAAUAGUGAGUCUGAGUGUCUAUUGAAUCGUUAAAACUUUCAACAACGGAUCUCUUGGUUCCGGCAUCGAUGAAGAACGCAGC